RNAcentral lists this transfer RNA (60 nucleotides) under Neotoma lepida (desert woodrat). It matches the Rfam family "tRNA", at positions 7 to 64 of the family's 71-position model. Rfam says of the family: Transfer RNA (tRNA) molecules are approximately 80 nucleotides in length. Their secondary structure includes four short double-helical elements and three loops (D, anti-codon, and T loops). The record is from Rfam by way of RNAcentral. Lineage: Eukaryota; Metazoa; Chordata; Mammalia; Rodentia; Cricetidae.
GUGGCUCAGUGAUUAAGAGCACUGGUUCCUUUUCCAGAGGACCUGGGUUCAAUUCCCAGC